UGCCAGCAGCCGCGGUAAUACGUAGGUCCCGAGCGUUGUCCGGAUUUAUUGGGCGUAAAGGGAGCGCAGGCGGUCAGGAAAGUCUGGAGUAAAAGGCUAUGGCUCAACCAUAGUGUGCUCUGGAAACUGUCUGACUUGAGUGCAGAAGGGGAGAGUAGAAUUCCAUGUGUAGCGGUGAAAUGCGUAGAUAUAUGGAGGAACACCAGUGGCGAAAGCGGCUCUCUGGUCUGUCACUGACGCUGAGGCUCGAAAGCGUGGGUAGCGAACAGGAUUAGAUA
This 278-nucleotide ribosomal RNA is filed under the name uncultured bacterium. Its description in RNAcentral is "partial 16S ribosomal RNA". It matches the Rfam family "Bacterial small subunit ribosomal RNA", at positions 506 to 784 of the family's 1533-position model. The record is from RNAcentral.